AACGAGGCGCUGGAGCUUGCUCCAGUUAGCCUAGUGGCGCACGGGUGAGUAACGCGUGGGAAACCUGCCUAGAAGUGAGGAAUAACAGUUGGAAACGACUGCUAAUACCGCAUACGCCCUGAGGGGGAAAGGCCGUGCUUUUUCGAAAGUAUGGCCGCUUUUAGAUGGUCCCGCGUCGGAUUAGCUUGUUGGUGAGGUAACGGCUCACCAAGGCGACGAUCCGUAGCUGGUCUGAGAGGACGGUCAGCCACACUGGGACUGAGACACGGCCCAGACUCC
This 279-nucleotide ribosomal RNA is filed under the name unidentified marine bacterioplankton. RNAcentral describes it as "partial 16S ribosomal RNA". It matches the Rfam family "Bacterial small subunit ribosomal RNA", at positions 65 to 339 of the family's 1533-position model. The record is from RNAcentral.